AAAAGCCUCCCUUUUCCAGAACUGACCGUCCUUCAGGAAAUGCCCAGGAUUAAAACUGUGAGGGGUUUCCCACUCCUUCUUGUCAUACAUCACAGAGGACAGAUUUGGGAUCAAAAUAGUACCCUGAGACAAGAGAAAGAAAAUCACUUUGCACCUUCUCUGCCACCGCCACCAAGAGAGAUGUUUUUACCCUCCCUUUUUGCUUGCCACAAAGAUCAUUCAUAGUCAAAUCUGUUACAAGCAUGUGUUUCUCUCCUUUUGCCUGGCCAUAUUUUCCUACUUCUUGGCUAUUUGCUUGUCUGAUCAAGAUAUACCUGCACUUUUCCCUCAUCAGCACUUUUUUGGCCAAAGUUCCUUUAAGAAAAGUCUGCAUGAGGAGGCCUCUGUUCCUUGAAGAUGUGUAUGGAUACCUCACCCCAUUGCUUUCAUUCUGAACACUGAGGAUGCAGUGUGCUGGAAAGUGGUUUUGGGACAGCAAAAUAUGAUACACAGGAGUUACCACUGUAAUGGGCAACAAUGAUGCAUUUUUCUCUCAGCAGGAAUGGGGAAAUGGGAGUCCCCUUCUAACAACUCAGUGCUCAGGAUUGGUGUUACCUUGGGCACCCGGAAACCAGCCAAGACUGUGUCCUUCACCGCCUGUCUCGGCACAUUGAAAGGGAUGAUGUUGCCUUUCCUCUGCACUUCAUGUAUGACGGCAUUGGUGUAGGGCAUGUUGUUCCUGUCCUCUAGGGCUGGCUGCCGGGCCUGCCCAAUGACAGCAUCGAUCUCCGCUUGUACAUGGGCUGUUUGGAAAAAGCAGUUAUCAGCUACAGUGCAGCAAAGCCAUGGAUCCCCUGGGGACACCAUGAACUUUUUGCUAUGCAAGUCUUCAAAGGACCAACCCAGGUCAAUCCUGUGCCACCAGGAGACUCCUGGUACCUCCAUGCAUGUUUGUCACUCCAGAUACUAAAUGGGCCCUAUGUUGUCUUCAAAGCCUCUUCCGCUUCUGCUAUAAAGCCCUCAGGGAUCUCCUGUGCUUGUGGGGGAAGUGCCUGUGUUUGAUUCUUGGUCCCAAAUUAAAGCAUUAUGGAAUUACCAGGGAAAGUUUUAAAACAGCUUAGACAUGUGCCUGAAUACAGAGGAAAGCAUUUGUUCCUCAUUUUUAUGGGCACAGGGGGAUUCCUGUUUUUCCUUUCAGCCAAAAGAGAGACUCUCACCAAGGUUUAAAAACAGGAAAAGCACAGCCCUGUUGCUACUCAUACCUUGAAUUUCCGGAUAUACGGCCAUAAACAGCAGGGCCCAGCGGAUGGUUGUGGAAGUGGUCUCAGUCCCAGCAAACAGUAGGUCAAGAGCACAUGCCACCAGGUUUUCCUCAUGGAAUUCACUGCCACUGGGCUUCACAAAAUCAAGUGUUAGUGCCACAUGAACAGCGAGGACUUCCUCAGCACUCACUCAGUUCUGUCCCAAGGGUUUUGGCAUAAGCUGUAUCCUCAUCCCUCCAGUGGAUGCCCCAAAACUAGUGUCCUUUCUGAGCUAACAGAUGGACACACCCGCAGCUCAGGUGGGGAAUUUGAUUUGUUUCUCAGCCCUCCUGAUCUC
This 1578-nucleotide long non-coding RNA is filed under the name Gallus gallus (chicken). Lineage: Eukaryota; Metazoa; Chordata; Aves; Galliformes; Phasianidae. The record is from RNAcentral.